RNAcentral lists this unclassified non-coding RNA (374 nucleotides) under Hevea brasiliensis (rubber tree). Lineage: Eukaryota; Viridiplantae; Streptophyta; Magnoliopsida; Malpighiales; Euphorbiaceae. The record is from RNAcentral.
AAUUAUUUAAAAAGUUAAAAUGAGCAAACAAGUAUAUAUAGAUAAUUUUUUUUAAUCAAAUAUAUUUUUUUCUCUUAAUUAAUUUAUUUUCUCUUUAAAUUAAAGAGAAAAUAAUAAAUAUAAAAUAAACAUUAUUUUCUUUUCGUUCAAUAUUUUCCUUUAGAAAAGUGACAAUUUUACUUUAUUUUCUACCAUUUAUUUUCUUUCCCUUUCCCCGAUCAAAGGCUUAAGUUCCACAACUUCGGGGUUGAAAAUUGUCACAACACAAGGAACAAAAAUGUCCGGAUAACAAAUGGACAGCAAACUUAGAAUAAGAAUAUGUCCAACGGCGUAGUGACAGUGAGGUAAUCACCUUGUCUAAAAUUCAUUGGUGG